Molecule: non-coding RNA, 146 nt
Organism: Peromyscus maniculatus bairdii (prairie deer mouse)
Lineage: Eukaryota; Metazoa; Chordata; Mammalia; Rodentia; Cricetidae
Source: RefSeq, a predicted model, not a curated record
GAUUUAUGCCCUAUCAAGUGGACAGUGAGUCUCCUCAUGUGCAAGAGAGAAAAACCCCAAACGAGAAGAGUUUAAGCAGCUUGUCCACAUCCAUGAUGGGUACCUCCUUUUUCUGAAUGUAAGGCUGAGAGUCUCCAUCACAAUUC